AUUGAACGCUGGCGGCAUGCUUUACACAUGCAAGUCGAACGGCAGCGCGGACUUCGGUCUGGCGGCGAGUGGCGAACGGGUGAGUAAUACAUCGGAACGUGCCCAGUAAUGGGGGAUAACUAUCCGAAAGGAUAGCUAAUACCGCAUACGCCCUGAGGGGGAAAGUGGGGGACCAGCAAUGGCUUCACGUUAUUGGAGCGGCCGAUGGCUGAUUAGCUAGUUGGUGAGGUAAAGGCUCACCAAGGCGACGAUCAGUAGCGGGUCUUAGAGGACGAUCCGCCACACUGGAACUGAGACACGGUCCAGACUCCUACGGGAGGCAGCAGUGGGGAAUCUUGGACAAUGGGCGCAAGCCUGAUCCAGCAAUGCCGCGUGGGUGAAGAAGGCCUUCGGGUUGUAAAGCCCUUUUGUUUGGGAGCAAAUCCUUGCUGUUAAUAGCGGCCGGGGAUGAGAGUACCAAAAGAAUAAGCACCGGCUAACUACGUGCCAGCAGCCGCGGUAA
Molecule: ribosomal RNA, 502 nt
Filed under: uncultured bacterium
Lineage: Bacteria
Description: partial 16S ribosomal RNA
Rfam family: Bacterial small subunit ribosomal RNA
Source: RNAcentral